AGUGAACGCUGGCGGUAGGCCUAACACAUGCAAGUCGAACGGCAGCACAGUAAGAGCUUGCUCUUACGGGUGGCGAGUGGCGGACGGGUGAGGAAUACAUCGGAAUCUACUUUUUCGUGGGGGAUAACGUAAGGAAACUUACGCUAAUACCGCAUACGACCUACGGGUGAAAGCAGGGGAUCUUCGGACCUUGCGCGAUUGAAUGAGCCGAUGUCGGAUUAGCUAGUUGGCGGGGUAAAGGCCCACCAAGGCGACGAUCCGUAGCUGGUCUGAGAGGAUGAUCAGCCACACUGGAACUGAGACACGGUCCAGACUCCUACGGGAGGCAGCAGUGGGGAAUACUGGACAAUGGGCGCAAGCCUGAUCCAGCCAUACCGCGUGGGUGAAGAAGGCCUUCGGGUUGUAAAGCCCUUUUGUUGGGAAAGAAAAGCAGCAGGUUAAUACCCCGCUGUUCUGACGGUACCCAAAGAAUAAGCACCGGCUAACUUCGUG
RNAcentral lists this ribosomal RNA (492 nucleotides) under uncultured bacterium. Its description in RNAcentral is "partial 16S ribosomal RNA". It matches the Rfam family "Bacterial small subunit ribosomal RNA", at positions 29 to 507 of the family's 1533-position model. The record is from RNAcentral.